Molecule: ribosomal RNA, 464 nt
Filed under: uncultured bacterium
Lineage: Bacteria
Description: partial 16S ribosomal RNA
Rfam family: Bacterial small subunit ribosomal RNA
Source: RNAcentral
CUACGGGGGGCACCAGUGGGGAAUAUUGCACAAUGGGCGCAAGCCUGAUGCAGCCAUGCCGCGUGUAUGAAGAAGGCCUUCGGGUUGUAAAGUACUUUCAGCGGGGAGGAAGGGAGUAAAGUUAAUACCUUUGCUCAUUGACGUUACCCGCAGAAGAAGCGCCGGCUAACUCCGGCCACGCAGCCGCGGUAAUACGGAGGGUGCAAGCGUUAAUCGGAAUUACUGGGCGUAAAGCGCACGCAUGCGGUUUGUUAAGUCAGAUGUGAAAUCCCCGGGCUCAACCUGGGAACUGCAUCUGAUACUGGCAAGCUUGAGUCUCGUAGAGGGGGGUAGAAUUCCAGGUGUAGCGGUGAAAUGCGUAGAGAUCUGGAGGAAUACCGGUGGCGAAGGCGGCCCCCUGGACGAAGACUGACGCUCAGGUGCGAAAGCGUGGGGAGCAAACAGGAUUAGAUACCCUAGUAGUC